UUAUUUUCGCUACGUGGAAUGUGUCUUUACUUCCUCAUUCUCAACCUUCCCCUCCCCUUGUGCUUAGACAAGAGUGAGAAGACGUAAGGAGCUGCAAGCUUUUGGUUUCUAUUGAUUAACACUCGGAAACUUUUUAAUAUUUCAUCUUUAGAUCCAUUUUUCAUCCUGCAGUUUUUGGUCAACUACAGUACGAUCAUGGACUUGUUGAGGCCAAUCCUGGACAGACUCAUGGCUUUAUAUGCAUGGAUUUCAGGAUCAACCACAACAACAACAGUUGCUGAUAACAGCAGUGCUGUUAGCAACAGAAGACUGGACAAUGUUACAGGAGGUUCCCUCACCAUGAGGACUGAAACAGUGAGUGUUGCAGGAAAUCCCUCAUCUGGAAAUCCUGUUGAACAGAACCCUCAACCUGUUCUCACUGCACGUAAUAGCAGUACAGUUUGUACUGACAGAAUCACUAAUUGCAAUUUCACCGGUGACAUAGAUUUAUCAACAUCUGUGAAACCAUCACAAGGACAGUAGAUGAGACACUGCCGUCCUCUCAGUUUGGAGUUAUGCUAAGCAGUUGGACUAACCAGAUAGUGGUGAAGGAAGACCCCAAAGGUCCAGAGUGCACCCUGCUUCACGUGCUCUCUACGCAUGCCAGUCAUCACAGUCCCUUAUUUCCUUGACAUAUAGUUCUUCUGUUUGAGACUGUUUGAAGGGCACAAUUUACAUUGGAAGAACAACAAAAGUGCUUAAAAUUGACUCUUAACUGAUCCAACAUAAGAAGUCUUAACUGUCUUAACUUCCUAUUUGUUUCAUGCUUGCGUGUGUGAACUUCUGAACCUGGUAAUACAGUUGUCUAAAGAUUUAUCUUGUAUAUGCAGAUUCUGCCUAUGCCACCAUGUUAGAAGUGAUAUAUCUGAACUUCUAAGAUAUAUGAAGAUGUUUAGGUUGUAGAAUCCCCCCCUUUAGACUAAUAUGUAGGUAACCAAGAAAAUGCAAGAAAUGACUCUCUUAAUGCCUCCGUGUUGUGACCUUGUGACCUCACAAAACAUGUUUUUGGCUGUAAUCCAAGGAUUCAUAUACAAAUUAUGACAACAUUUCAGACAAAUAUCCAUUAGAAUAAAAUGAAGUGAUGUCAUUUAAUAUCCAAAAGGUCAACUUCAUUUCACUGUGACAUCAUAAUACGUUUCUUUUAGGACUCCCUUUUUGACCUCUUUAGUUCGAUUUUGGAUCUUUGUGCUUUUUGAUACAGUUCCUCUGCUUUAGGUUCCAUUAUGUUUCUUUUAGAGCAAUCAUUCUAUUUUAUCUUUUUAGUGGACUUGAGUAGUGGAAGUUUAGCUUGGCAUUAAAUAAUUUAAUCACUUUUUUCUUUAUUACCAUCUGUAAUUGUUUAACACUAUUAUUGAAUAAAAAUAAGUAGGCUGUUGUGGUCUACUGAAAGACA
Epinephelus lanceolatus (giant grouper) is the source of this 1432-nucleotide long non-coding RNA. RefSeq lists it as uncharacterized. NCBI's taxonomy places the organism in Eukaryota, Metazoa, Chordata, Actinopteri, Perciformes, Serranidae. The record is from RefSeq and is a predicted model, not a curated record.